This 500-nucleotide ribosomal RNA is filed under the name uncultured bacterium. RNAcentral's name for it is "partial 16S ribosomal RNA". It matches the Rfam family "Bacterial small subunit ribosomal RNA", at positions 30 to 523 of the family's 1533-position model. The record is from RNAcentral.
AUUGAACGCUGGCGGAAUGCUUUACACAUGCAAGUCGAACGGCAGCACGGACUUCGGUCUGGUGGCGAGUGGCGAACGGGUGAGUAAUAUAUCGGAACGUGCCCAGUCGUGGGGGAUAACGUAGCGAAAGUUACGCUAAUACCGCAUACGAUCUACGGAUGAAAGCGGGGGAUCGCAAGACCUCGCGCGAUUGGAGCGGCCGAUAUCAGAUUAGGUAGUUGGUGGGGUAAAGGCUCACCAAGCCAACGAUCUGUAGCUGGUCUGAGAGGACGGCAGGCCAGACUGGAACUGAGACACGGUCCAGACUCCUACGGGAGGCAGCAGUGGGUAAUUUUGUACAAUGGACGCAAGUCUGAUCCAGCCAUUCCGCGUGCAGGAUGAAGGCCCUCGGGUUGUAAACUGCUUUUGUACAGAACGAAAAGGCUCUUCCUAAUACGGAGGGCUCAUGACGGUACUGUAAGAAUAAGCACCGGCUAACUACGUGCCAGCCGCCGCAGUAA